RNAcentral lists this ribosomal RNA (497 nucleotides) under uncultured bacterium. RNAcentral's name for it is "partial 16S ribosomal RNA". It matches the Rfam family "Bacterial small subunit ribosomal RNA", at positions 28 to 507 of the family's 1533-position model. The record is from RNAcentral.
GAUGAACGCUGGCGGCGUGCCUAAUACAUGCAAGUCGAGCGAACGGACGAGAAGCUUGCUCCUCUGAUGUUAGCGGCGGACGGGUGAGUAACACGUGGAUAACCUACCUAUAAGACUGGGAUAACUUCGGGAAACCGUAGCUAAUACCGGAUAAUAUAUUGAACCGCAUGGUUCAAAAGUGAAAGACGGUCUUGCUGUCACUUAUAGAUGGAUCCGCGCUGCAUUAGCUAGUUGGUAAGGUAACGGCUUACCAAGGCAACGAUGCAUAGCCGACCUGAGAGGGUGAUCGGCCACACUGGAACUGAGACACGGUCCAGACUCCUACGGGAGGCAGCAGUAGGGAAUCUUCCGCAAUGGGCGAAAGCCUGACGGAGCAACGCCGCGUGAGUGAUGAAGGUCUUCGGAUCGUAAAACUCUGUUAUUAGGGAAGAACAUAUGUGUAAGUAACUGUGCACAUCUUGACGGUACCUAAUCAGAAAGCCACGGCUAACUACGUG